CCUACGGGAGGCGGGGACUGCCCCGGGCUCAAUCCUGCGAUACGUGGCGCGGUAUUUCGAGCGCUGGACUUUGGGGACGAGUGCGUCGGAAUCACAGGUGGGUGGCAGGGCUUGCUGUUAUGUGAGACCGAACCCCUCGACCUUGUGCGCGUCGAUGAGAUCAUCGACCGCGGCGGAACAAUCCUGGGAACCUCGCGCACCAAUCCGUUCAAGGAUCCAGCCCUGGUCGAACAGACAAUCGCGAACAUCGGCGCCCUUGGGUUGGACGCAGUCAUCGCCAUCGGGGGCGAUGACACUGUCGGCGUGGCGUCCAAGCUGGCGACGCUGGGCGUGAAGGUUGUGGGGGUCCCGAAGACCAUGGACAAUGAUCUGUCAGGAACCGACUUCACCUUC
This 393-nucleotide ribosomal RNA is filed under the name uncultured prokaryote. RNAcentral's name for it is "partial 16S ribosomal RNA". The record is from RNAcentral.